GGGGCAUUUGAACUCCGCCGCUGUCUGUCUCGCGCUCCCCUCUGUGCCCCGCGCACCUCUGUCCCCCCGCCCGGCCCGCGCUCCCGGGCGCGCUUGCUCGCUCUCCCCGCUACCCGAGGAGUCCUCAACAAGUUGGAAGAAGGCAGGAGCGCAGGGGUUAAGCUCGGGAAGCCGCAAUUACCAAGAUCGUGACCCUCCCACACAGUACAGUAACUUAUAUACUUACCUGGAAGAGCCCGCUUUGCCGCGGGGCAAACACCCAUGGGGGCGGGGAGGGGCAGGAGAGGAGCGGGCCGGCCGGAGAGGGGCUCCUCUAAGCUGGCUGCAGCGCGGACGGGACCGGCGCGCUCCAGUGGCCCCCGGACCGAGAGAGUCCAACCUGUCCUGACACCCAGAGGUCUGCAGGAGAGGUGGCCACUGAAGAAGGAGGUCUCAAAGACCACAGGAGAUGAAGAACUUGGACGAAUGAGCUUAGGAGUCCCAGGAACUUGGUUUCCUUAA
Molecule: long non-coding RNA, 501 nt
Filed under: Microcebus murinus (gray mouse lemur)
Lineage: Eukaryota; Metazoa; Chordata; Mammalia; Primates; Cheirogaleidae
Description: lncRNA (ENSMICG00000048721.1)
Source: RNAcentral